AUGCCAUACGUGUGGCACGAGGACCCCUAUGCACCAAGGCGAAUACUCAGCGCCGGCGCGCCGGCCGAAAGUUUCGGCCGGUCGCAUGCCAGCCGCUGGAUUACUUCAUUUGUGACGGUUAGAUUAGAACCCCCAAUCUUUUCCAUCCCUGGCUUCGUCUCAGAUCUGAUCGAGAGAUGGAAAACAACUUUGACCUGCUGUAGAGAAACUGCCCCCCGCAGGGCCGUGCCUCGUCUGCAGCGACACACCGUCUCCCCAUGGCCGUCGAAGCAUCCCCGGCGCCUUCUCGACCGUCGCCGUCAUCGACCACACUCACCGUCUCGCCAUCCGUUCGUGAUCUACACAUCAAAUCACGCCGUUCGUGGCCCUUGCCGUAGUCGGUUGCAGUAUACUUUACACUCGCUGUCGCAGCCCUCCUGUAUGUCUCCGGUGCAGCUCGCCAGCGGCACGGUCAAUGCGUCCCUCCAUUGCAAGCUCCACCUCUCCCCUGGAUGCAGCUUCCAUGUAGCAAAAAAACAUGUCGAUGGAAGCUUUUCCGGUUGCCGGUUGAAACAAAAUAAAGGCUCCGGCGUUGCCACCGCAUAA
Molecule: ribosomal RNA, 585 nt
Filed under: Triticum aestivum (bread wheat)
Lineage: Eukaryota; Viridiplantae; Streptophyta; Magnoliopsida; Poales; Poaceae
Description: partial small subunit ribosomal RNA
Source: RNAcentral